AAUAACUUUUCUAUUUCUUUCUUUUUAUUAGGUUAUUUUCUUUAUUCUUGUAUUUCAUAUUUGUUCUCCUUGCAAGAUCUUGCCAUUGCUUUCUCCUUUGUUCAGUCAUUCUAACGAAAAAGUGCACUUCUUCCAACAUGGUAUUAAACUUGAGAAUAAUAGAAGAGGGUGUGUAGAAAUUAACAUAGGUUUGUAGAAAUCUAGACGAGUAGAGAAGAAGAGGGUGCAACGCUCCUUCGCAACCAUCCCGAAUGACAAUAGAUAUCUCAACUCUGACCUACUGUCGUAGACCUCAUAAUUUUGCUACUGGAUAACUAAUUUUGAGGAGAGAAUGCUUAUUUUUCAAGAGGAGGGUGAUGAUGAAAAGAAGGAGGAUGAAGAUGAGGAAGAACACAAGCAGAAAGAAGGUAAUUUAUUGACGGAUGUUUUUGAAUGGCAUAGAAUUCCUUACCAUAAUCUAAUUGUAACGUUCGAUGAUACAAGUCUUGAUAGAAAUUGGCCAAGAUUCCAUCCAAGAAAUGCUAAAAUUGCUUGCAAGGAUAAAGAAGCUACGAGGUUUGUUUUAGAAUCUAACGCUGUGAAGCCACUUGCUAGCUCUAUUCUAGAUUUUUUAGACACUAGAAGGACCGAGGAUGUGUAUAUCCCUCGCUGCUUGAUCAUUAAAGAAUAAUACACUUGGCAGCACUGUUAUGUGUGAAAUCUAGA
RNA transcript from Prosopis cineraria, 705 nucleotides. RefSeq lists it as uncharacterized. Lineage: Eukaryota; Viridiplantae; Streptophyta; Magnoliopsida; Fabales; Fabaceae. The record is from RefSeq and is a predicted model, not a curated record. The transcript is spliced from 3 exons.